GUUGUUGUGGCCGAGUGGUUAAGGCUAUGGACUUGAAAUCCUUUUUGGUUUCUCUGCAAAUGUUCAAAUCCUGCCAAUAAUG
This 82-nucleotide transfer RNA is filed under the name Danionella translucida. It matches the Rfam family "tRNA". Rfam says of the family: Transfer RNA (tRNA) molecules are approximately 80 nucleotides in length. Their secondary structure includes four short double-helical elements and three loops (D, anti-codon, and T loops). RNAcentral also lists the same sequence under 1 other name. Lineage: Eukaryota; Metazoa; Chordata; Actinopteri; Cypriniformes; Danionidae. The record is from Rfam by way of RNAcentral.